GACGAACGCUGGCGGCGUGCCUAAUACAUGCCAGUCGGACGCACAGUUUAUACCGUAGCUUGCUACACCAUAGACUGUGAGUUGCGAACGGGUGAGUAACGCGUAGGUAACCUGCCUGGUAGCGGGGGAUAACUAUUGGAAACGAUAGCUAAUACCGCAUAAUAUUGAUUAUUGCAUGAUAAUUGAUUGAAAGAUGCUAUUGCAUCACUACCAGAUGGACCUGCGUUGUAUUAGCUAGUAGGUGAGGUAACGGCUCACCUAGGCGACGAUACAUAGCCGACCUGAGAGGGUGAUCGGCCACACUGGGACUGAGACACGGCCCAGACUCCUACGGGAGGCAGCAGUAGGGAAUCUUCGGCAAUGGACGAAAGUCUGACCGAGCAACGCCGCGUGAGUGAAGAAGGGUUUCGGAUCGUAAAGCUCUGUUGUAAGAGAAGAACGGGUGUGAGAGUGGAAAGUUCACACUGUGACGGUAGCUUACCAGAAAGGGACGGCUAACUACGUG
Molecule: ribosomal RNA, 505 nt
Filed under: uncultured bacterium
Lineage: Bacteria
Description: partial 16S ribosomal RNA
Rfam family: Bacterial small subunit ribosomal RNA
Source: RNAcentral